CAGUAGCCACGGUAAUACGAAGGGUGCAAGCGUUAAUCGGAAUUACUGGGCGUAAAGCGUGCGUAGGCGGUUUGUUAAGUCUGCUGUGAAAUCCCCGGGCUCAACCUGGGAAUGGCAGUGGAUACUGGCAAGCUAGAGUGUGUCAGAGGAUGGUGGAAUUCCCGGUGUAGCGGUGAAAUGCGUAGAGAUCGGGAGGAACAUCAGUGGCGAAGGCGGCCAUCUGGGACAACACUGACGCUGAGGCACGAAAGCGUGGGGAGCAAACAGGAUUAGAGACCCCUGUAGUCCCUGUCUCUUAUAC
This 301-nucleotide ribosomal RNA is filed under the name uncultured bacterium. RNAcentral describes it as "partial 16S ribosomal RNA". It matches the Rfam family "Bacterial small subunit ribosomal RNA", at positions 509 to 807 of the family's 1533-position model. The record is from RNAcentral.